UGGGAAUAUUGCACAAUGGGGGAAACCCUGACCCAGCAACGCCGCGUGAAUGAAGAAGGUCUUCGGAUUGUAAAGUUCUGUGAUGGGGGACGGAAGAAAGUGACGGUACCCCAAUAGCAAGCUACGGCUAACUACGUGCCAGCAGCCGCGGUAAUACGUAGGUAGCAAGCGUUGUCCGGAAUGACUGGGCGUAAAGGGUGCGUAGGUGGUUUAACAAGUUGGUAGUGAAAUUCCGAAGCUUAACUUCGGCGCUACUACCAAGACUGUUGAACUUGAGUACAGGAGAGGUAAGUGGAAUUCCUAGUGUAGCGGUGGAAUGCGUAGAUAUUAGGAGGAACACCAGUGGCGAAGGCGACUUACUGGCCUGCAACUGACACUGAGGCACGAAAGCGUGGGGAGCAAACAGGAUUAGAUACCCUGGUAGU
RNAcentral lists this ribosomal RNA (425 nucleotides) under uncultured bacterium. RNAcentral describes it as "bacterial SSU rRNA". It matches the Rfam family "Bacterial small subunit ribosomal RNA", at positions 356 to 794 of the family's 1533-position model. The record is from RNAcentral.